CCUGCCAGUAGUCAUAUGCUUGUCUCAAAGAUUAAGCCAUGCAUGUCUAAGCACGAACUUUUACACAGUGAAGCUGCGAAUGGCUCAUUAGGUCACCCAUUAUUUCUUGGAUCGUACAAUCCUACUUGGAUAACUGUGGUAAUUCUAGAGCUAAUACAUGCGAGCAAGCUCCGACCCGGCUCGUCCGCGGAAAGAGCGCGUUUAUUAGAUCAAAACCAAUCGGUCGGUCGUCGAAAGGCGGCAGGCCGUAACCUUUGGUGACUCUGGAUAACUUUGAGCGGAUCGCACGGGCCUCGACCCGGCGACGUAUCUUUCAAGUGUGUGCCCUAUCAACUUUCGAUGGUACGCGAUAUGCCUACCAUGGUCGUAACGGGUAACGGGGGAAUCAGGGUUCGAUUCCGGAGAGGGAGCAUGAGAAACGGCU
Molecule: ribosomal RNA, 424 nt
Filed under: uncultured eukaryote
Lineage: Eukaryota
Description: SSU rRNA
Rfam family: Eukaryotic small subunit ribosomal RNA
Source: RNAcentral